This is a non-coding RNA of Doryrhamphus excisus (bluestripe pipefish), 1699 nucleotides long. Lineage: Eukaryota; Metazoa; Chordata; Actinopteri; Syngnathiformes; Syngnathidae. The record is from RefSeq and is a predicted model, not a curated record.
CGUCAGACGCAGUCUGCAAGGGAACGCUUCGCAUCGGCCUCACUUUGCUGGUCUGUUCUGCCUGCAUUUUCAUUCAGACAGGCUUCAGACCUCCAGGGAGGCACAUUGUCUGUGCUGGAAUGCUCCCCAGAUGACCUUCAACCUCACCGCUGUGAAGGAGAAUGCUGGCUGUAACGUCACGCUACUGGUUUGCAUUACACAUGCUAAAAUCAUCACCACAGCAGGCGGCCGUCUCGAUGGCUCUCAGUAAAUACAGACGUGCACUAGCGAAGCGUGGUCAUUUUAGAAAGUGGAAGUUCCACAUAAAAAAGCUCUCCCCUUACAUUUCUUUGUAGAAAGUGACUUAAUAAAAGUAAAUACAUUUCCUUGUAUUCACUUAUAGGGAAGCACAUCCAAUCCAUUGACGUACAGACCGCACGAUGCUGUGUUGUACUUGAAUGACCCCCUGGAGAGGCCAGAGAUGGCCGAGGGUGGGAUUUUCCCUGGUCUCCUAUCUGUGAGGUCUGCGUGCUAACCACUCGACCAAUGUGCAGCCCACAUGAAUUUCAAUCCACUGAAAAUGACAUUGAUCACUGUAUUCGAUACUUGCUUAUGGCUCCUUUUGCAUGAAUCACUGUUUUAAUAAUUAUUAUUAUUUCAAAGUGCCUUUCAGGACACCCGAGGUCGCUUUCAUCUGAUCUGGCAUGGAGGUGAAUAAGCCUGUGGCACUGUUAAGGUGCUAUGGAGACCAGUAUGCUUCGAUAGCGGCCUUCAGCUCAUCUUUGAUGUUUGUCUGAUGUUACUCAUCUUCCUCUUCACAAUACAAUAGAGGUGCCAGGUCAUGUUGGGAUAUGAAGUCAGCAUCUCCGUAAAGGUUUUCAGCAGAUAGAAGCAUGAAGUGACCUUCUCUCCUAUGACUGUCCAGUCUUCCUCCAGACCCUAGGAUCUCUUGACUUUGUUUACUAAAUUGUCACAUUUGUGUGAAAUGGUUGUCACCCCAAAAUAUCACCCAUCAUCAUGUGUUUACUCAUUUUGUUUCCUUCAUUUGUCUUUGUCUGCUUCAUGUUCGCGUCUGCUCAUCAUUCACACUAUUUGUCUUCCAGCAUUGCAAGCAUGUUUCCAGCUAAAACUGAUUUUGCACAUAUGAAACACAUCUCAGGUCUCCACACAUGCAGUACUUUGGAACGUGAAUUACAAUUGACCUACAUAACACCUCCGGCAAGGGAGAUGGACAAGCCUGGCUGGUACUUCAACAUUUGUGUGAACACAGAGAAGAAAGAUGAUUCUUAUCUUGGCUUCCUCUUUCCAUUCUGGAUGUGUGCUGUUUCUCUGGACUUGACCUACUUAUAUGUACAUCUUGAGCAAGAUGGACAUUUUCCUGUGUGGUGCAUGCCUGGGAACUGAGCUAUGUCAUUUUUGGUCCUCUCUGUUGUGUCAUGCAGCGUUUCAUAUUUUACAUGACAAAAAUCUCACAGCACACCACCAAACAAAAAUGUAGUGGAAACGUCAUGCCUUUCUAGGCACCUUCUGCCUUCAGUGAAAGAGCGUUUGCCUGACACUGCUUCACAUACGUAGAUGAAUAAAGAUUCAUUAUUUGUAGUAAGUAAAUAAUCACGUUUGGUCCAAGGAAGUGAAACUGGAUGAUCUCUCACUGGCAUACACACUUGGAAGGUCGAAUUGGAAUUGGAUAUUUGCCAAGUGGUUUGUUGAUUCAAAAAAC